RNAcentral lists this long non-coding RNA (659 nucleotides) under Citrus sinensis (sweet orange). Its description in RNAcentral is "long non-coding RNA (CSIN_LNC002224)". The record is from RNAcentral. Lineage: Eukaryota; Viridiplantae; Streptophyta; Magnoliopsida; Sapindales; Rutaceae.
GAACCCUGCCCGGAUGCAACCGGUCCGGGUCCGGGUCCGGGCUAGAUUUUAAUCCGGGUACCCGAAUUUUAUAUUUUUUAAUAUUAUAUGUGUAUAUAUUUUUUUAUUUUUUUGUAAUUUUAUAAGUUUUAAAUUUAUUUCAAUAAAAUUUGACAUGAAAAUAUAAACUUUAAGUGUUUAAAACUUUAUAUAUGUAUAAUAAAUGAGUCAAAUAAAUAUAAAUAUUUAAAAUAAUAUAUAUUUUAUAAUAUUUUUUUAAUAAAAUCUGGGUUCUGAUUUUAUCAAGUGAUGCCCAAGACCGACCCGACUUCAUAUCCGAGCCGGGUACCACAACGCCCGGGUACGGUCCGGGUCCAGACCGGGCAGGUAUUUUUGCCACCUCUAGUUGUUGUUGCUGUUGGUCUUGGCCUUUCUUCCAACUCACACUCACGCCCGAACUUGCUCUCACUUUCGCUCUAGCUCCCGGCUCCGACUUUCACUCUUCUCAUCAAGGUUACUCAACUUUAAACUUAGCCUUGUAUUUGUUAAAGUGAUUUAGAUCUGUAAUUUGUUAUAUUUGGGGAAAACGAUUUGUCAAUGAUAUAGUGUAGAAAUAUAAUGCUUACAUAAUAUUUGACAAAAUGCCACAAAGAACUAUAGAACUAUUUGUCAUCUUUUAA